This 73-nucleotide transfer RNA is filed under the name Clonostachys rosea f. rosea IK726. It matches the Rfam family "tRNA". From Rfam's summary of the family: Transfer RNA (tRNA) molecules are approximately 80 nucleotides in length. Lineage: Eukaryota; Fungi; Ascomycota; Sordariomycetes; Hypocreales; Bionectriaceae. The record is from RNAcentral.
GCCCCUGUGGCGCAGUGGUCAGCGCGCUCCCGUGCGGCGAGAGAGGACCUCGGUUCGAAUCCGAGCAGAAGCA